This 355-nucleotide ribosomal RNA is filed under the name uncultured bacterium. RNAcentral's name for it is "partial 16S ribosomal RNA". It matches the Rfam family "Bacterial small subunit ribosomal RNA", at positions 338 to 710 of the family's 1533-position model. The record is from RNAcentral.
CCUACGGGAGGCAGCAGUGGGGAAUAUUGGACAAUGGGGGGAACCCUGAUCCAGCGACGCCGCGUGAGUGAAGAAGUAUUUCGGUAUGUAAAGCUCUAUCAGCAGGGAAGAAAAUGACGGUACCUGACUAAGAAGCCCCGGCUAACUACGUGCCAGCAGCCGCGGUAAUACGGAGGGGGCAAGCGUUAUCCGGAUUUACUGGGUGUAAAGGGAGCGUAGGCGGGGCAGCAAGACUGAUGUGAAAGGGCCGGGCGCAACCCCGGGACUGCAUAGGGAACUGGUGAACUUGAGUACGGGGGAGGAAGGCGGAAUUCGUAGUGUAGCGGUGAAAUGCGUAGAUAUGACGAAGAACCCC